GAAAAAGAUAAUCUAGUUUGCUUUGCCAAAGGACAAAUUUCACAUGAAUGCUGAGAAUUAAACAUAAAAUAAGGAAAUUUUUGUGACAAAAGUCGAGAUGGUGCUUUGGAGGGUGUCCCAAUCAUUGAUGCCAAGUGAUGGCAGAUGGAAAGGAGACUUGAUAAGAUUUUGGUGGUGAAGAUAACAACUCAGAAUGUGGCUUAAGAUACUGCUUCCCCAUGCCAAUCAUCCUCUUCGUAGCUAGGUCCUGCAAUACACAAAAGGUAGGGAAAAAGUGAAUGGAACAAUUUAAAGCUGAUGUGAGUUGACUAACAGAGAGAAGAUUCACAUGAAAAGAAGGUAUACAUAGAACAUCUUUAACAUAUAAGUUGUUUGACAGAUGAGCUGACCCAAUACUUGUAAUUUUAGCAUGAGAGCCAUUUGGUAAAGAGACUUGAGAAGUCAUAGGAGGAGAGGUUUUACAUGUGACUGAAGUGGCUAUAUGAUUUGUAGCACCACUAUCAAUGAUCCAAUUCAUUGAAUUAAAAUUUUGCAAGGUGGAGGAUGAACAAAAAGGAGUAGAGAUGCCUGGAUAAUUUGCACGAGGAUUUUUACUGUUUCUGAAGAAGGCUUUAAUUUGUGACAAUUCUUCAGGAGUAAAUUGAAGUGGUGAAUAAGAUGUUUGAACUACCUUUAUAAGUGCUUGAGAGGAUUCAGUUCCUAUUUGAUUUGCAGCAAAUUUACGGGUUCGAUUUGGUGGUUGAACAUCCUUUUCAUGAAACUUGUGUCCAACAGGAAAACCAAUCAAAUAGUAACAUUUGUCUACUGUAUGACUGGUGCCAUCACAGUAAGUUCAGAAGAGUGGUUUCUCCGGCAAACGGGAGUUGGACUGGCGUUGGGAAUCAAAUCCUUGUUGUUUAAAAUUUGAUUGAGUUUUGACAUUCAUGGCAUGAGUCUGAUCUAUUCCCUUGUGUUCAACUAGCCCUCGUUGCUUUUCUUCCUCACAGAGAAGAGAAUAUGCUUUCUUGACUGUUGGUAAAGGUUGCAUCAGCAUAAUUUGCCCCCUGAUAGCUGAAUAUAUUUCAUGCAAGCCCAUAAGAAAUUGUCUGAGCCUUACUUUUUCAUCUCUAUCAUUUAGAUGUUUCAUCCCUCCACAAGUACAAGGAACAGGUGGGGUACACAUCUUCAAUUCAUCCCACAAGGUCUUUAUUUUGGUGUAAUAAGUGAAAAUGAAAUCUUGGUUUUGUUUUAAUUCAACGAUGAGGCGUUGAACCUGAUAAUGAUGAGAAAAAUCACCUUGUGAGAAGCGUUCUUGUAGAUCUGUCCAAAUUUCUGAAGGCGUUUCCACGUAGAGAACACUGUU
RNAcentral lists this long non-coding RNA (1342 nucleotides) under Citrus sinensis (sweet orange). Its description in RNAcentral is "long non-coding RNA (CSIN_LNC000191)". The record is from RNAcentral. Lineage: Eukaryota; Viridiplantae; Streptophyta; Magnoliopsida; Sapindales; Rutaceae.